UAUAGUUGAGGAGCUCAUGCCCCCAAAAAAAAGUAUCAUCAUUUAUCGGCUAGUAUUGGACGACCAAUGCCACGCCAACCAAUAUGAUGUGACAAUGAUCAUUCAUCAGCACAUUUGGGCGUCUCGGACUACCAA
Caenorhabditis elegans is the source of this 135-nucleotide non-coding RNA. Lineage: Eukaryota; Metazoa; Nematoda; Chromadorea; Rhabditida; Rhabditidae. The record is from Ensembl.